GACGAACGCUGGCGGCGUGCUUAACACAUGCAAGUCGAACGGAAAGGCCCUGCUUUUGUGGGGUGCUCGAGUGGCGAACGGGUGAGUAACACGUGAGUAACCUGCCCUUGACUUUGGGAUAACUUCAGGAAACUGGGGCUAAUACCGGAUAGGAGCUCCUGCUGCAUGGUGGGGGUUGGAAAGUUUCGGCGGUUGGGGAUGGACUCGCGGCUUAUCAGCUGGUUGGUGGGGUAGUGGCUUACCAAGGCUUUGACGGGUAGCCGGCCUGGGAGGGUGACCGGCCACAUUGGGACUGAGAUACGGCCCAGACUCCUACGGGAGGCAGCAGUGGGGAACAUUGCACAAUGGGCGGAAGCCUGAUGCAGCAACGCCGCGUGCGGGAUGACGGCCUUCGGGUUGUAAACCGCUUUCGCCUGUGACGAAGCGUGAGUGACGGUAAUGGGUAAAGAAGCACCGGCUAACUACGUG
RNAcentral lists this ribosomal RNA (468 nucleotides) under uncultured bacterium. Its description in RNAcentral is "partial 16S ribosomal RNA". It matches the Rfam family "Bacterial small subunit ribosomal RNA", at positions 28 to 507 of the family's 1533-position model. The record is from RNAcentral.